Long non-coding RNA from Phymastichus coffea, 569 nucleotides. RefSeq lists it as uncharacterized. The record is from RefSeq and is a predicted model, not a curated record. NCBI's taxonomy places the organism in Eukaryota, Metazoa, Arthropoda, Insecta, Hymenoptera, Eulophidae. The transcript has 3 exons.
GAUUAAAAGCCACCAAAUUUAGUGUAAGUUUGAUUGAAGCAUGCAAUCAUUCUGCUUCAGGCAGUGAUCAAGAAAAAAACAGUGAAAGUUCUGAUUCAGUACUGAGGUCCAACAACGAUGAAAUAAAUCAUAAUAAACAUAGACGUAAAAAAUACAAAAAGAAAAACAGUAGACUCAUUCAACGUUCAUCAAAAGAAAAAGAAGAAUUUACAAGAAAAAAGGAGUUAUUUUUGAAAAAUAAUAAACAAAAUCCAAAUACUCACCAGUCACCAGAUUCUGAGAGUGAAAUGUUAGUGGAACAGAUUGAAAAUAUAAACGAAAAUCCUGAGUUCACAAAAUAGUGAAAUUAUUUCUAGUUCAAACAAUAGACAAUCUCUCGCUCCUUUAAACGCAGCAAAUAUAGAUUUCAAUGGAGGGCAUAGUUCGACUCUUUCUACUUUGACCAGGGGUAAUAAUUUUCAAAGUAGGAACCUUCAUCCUAAAAAUACUUCAUCAAAGCCACGUUCACACCAAAGAAGAUAUUCUCGUGCAAGAAACUGUAGUUCAGAAGAAGAAAAUAAAUGUGGUCA